Molecule: unclassified non-coding RNA, 410 nt
Filed under: Hevea brasiliensis (rubber tree)
Lineage: Eukaryota; Viridiplantae; Streptophyta; Magnoliopsida; Malpighiales; Euphorbiaceae
Source: RNAcentral
UGGCUACACUGCUCCAGGUGCAUAUCUUACUUCAACUACUAUAUAUUAAUCAAUUGAUAAUGUUCUUUGAUUGCAUUGCAUUGCAUUACGGCCUAUCAAAUGUAGCAACAAGAGUUCUUUUUUGUAGGAUUUGUGGAUCAAUCUAACUAGAAUACUGUUGGAAAACAAAGGAGAUGGAGAGGAGAGCUCAAAACAAAACUCAAGAACAUAAAAUAGAAACAUAAAUUUUGCAGAAUGUGCAGCAGACAAAAAUAAGGAACGAAAAGCUGGAUUCCUGGCUUUUUUAAAAAGACAUUGCAAAAACUCAAAAUUAACAUAACAACAAGAGACAGGUUGGAGAGAAGAUAAACUCAAAUUUCAUUGCUAAAAAACAGAGGAUAUACAAACAAACACGUAGAUUUUUUUUCUCA